GAUGAACGCUGGCGGCGUGCCUAAUACAUGCAAGUCGAGCGAACGGACGAGAAGCUUGCUUCUCUGAUGUUAGCGGCGGACGGGUGAGUAACACGUGGAUAACCUACCUAUAAGACUGGGAUAACUUCGGGAAACCGGAGCUAAUACCGGAUGAUAUUUUGAACCGCAUGGUUCAAAAGUGAAAGACGGUCUUGCUGUCACUUAUAGAUGGAUCCGCGCUGCAUUAGCUAGUUGGCAAGGUAACGGCUUACCAAGGCAACGAUGCAUAGCCGACCUGAGAGGGUGAUCGGCCACACUGGAACUGAGACACGGUCCAGACUCCUACGGGAGGCAGCAGUAGGGAAUCUUCCGCAAUGGGCGAAAGCCUGACGGAGCAACGCCGCGUGAGUGAUGAAGGUCUUCGGAUCGUAAAACUCUGCUAUUAGGGAAGAACAUAUGUGUAAGUAACUGUGCACAUCUUGACGGUACCUAAUCAGAAAGCCACGGCUAACUACGUG
Molecule: ribosomal RNA, 497 nt
Filed under: uncultured bacterium
Lineage: Bacteria
Description: partial 16S ribosomal RNA
Rfam family: Bacterial small subunit ribosomal RNA
Source: RNAcentral